RNAcentral lists this long non-coding RNA (4969 nucleotides) under Heterocephalus glaber (naked mole-rat). RNAcentral describes it as "lncRNA (ENSHGLG00100034114.1)". Lineage: Eukaryota; Metazoa; Chordata; Mammalia; Rodentia; Bathyergidae. The record is from RNAcentral.
CGUGAGCUCCUCCAGGCCCGCGACGUCCGCAAGCAGCUUGGACUGCGGCCGCAUCAGGACGCCCUGCCCUCGGCCCCAGCAGAGUGGACAUCAGGCCUGGAGAGGCAGAAAUGGUCUUGCUGUGUAGUCCAGGCUAGCCUUGAUCUCACCAUGUGGCCUGGCCCUUGAAGCGAUCCUCCUGCCUCAGCCUCCUGUUGCUGGGAUUACAGGCUUGUGCUGCCACGCCCAGCACUGCUUGGAUUGCAGAAGCCGCACUUCCAGGGUUUCCCGUGCCCCUCAGCUGCCUCUGCAGAGCGGCUCGAACACCUGGCAGACUUAGUGGGGCUCAGAGGGCGUCCUCCCGCUGGUCAGGCUGCGACUUUCCUGCGUGGGCUUUGGCCCAGUGGGACGCGCUGUGGAGCUCAGCCUUGCCGGGCGAGCAGCGCUGGGAAGGGACUGGCACUUGGCUUGCUGCUGGGCCCCUGGAGACCGGGUGACUGACACCCAAGCCGCCUGCACGGCUGAGCGUCACCAGAUCCGCCCGGGUUGGCUGUCAGACACGGCCCGUGGGGUGGUGCGAAGUGCAGAGUCUGAGGAGACCUGAGGCUCGGUUUCAUGGCCUUGUCCCCGAGUGUCCUACUCAGGCCACCACACCACUCCUCCACCCACCAACACUUGCCCUUCGAGAAUCUUCUCCAUGAGCAGCAAGCAGAAGCACAAGAGGAGUGAAUCUAGCCUGGAGUGUGUGAAGUGUUUUGCGGUGAUCUGGAACCCAUAGGAGGUGGCCUGCCAGGAGACAGCAGCCGUCCCUGGCCUGCUCAGCCGCACGCAUGACGCCAGGGAAGGAAGCUUCUCCCGGUAGCUGGAACAUGGGUGCAUCAUCCUUGCCUCUUCCUGGAAGGGGGCAGGUGACUUGGUUAGGUUCUCGUGGAUGUGAAAAGAGUAAGACCAGAGGACAAGGGGUCUGGGAAGAGACGCGUGCCUGGUGUGAGCAGACGGCCCUCCGAAGUCAUUGCAACACGCCCACACCAGUCUGACUUCGGGGUUUUUUGGUACUGGGGAUCGAACUCGGGUCCUUGUGCUAGAACUUUGGUUUUAAGCCAGGUCGUCCUUGUGGUUUAUGCUCUGGAGGCCACCGGCCAGCACCAGCAAGUAGCCAGUGAGUUCAGGGGCCACAGUUCCUGUGCCACUGUGAUGCUCCGCUGGAGAGGACCAGGACCUGGGGUGGUCAGCGAGACACUGAGGAACGUGCCCUGAGGGGUCAGUGGCCGGAGAGCAAGGGGCCCGGAGUGGACGAGGAAGGGAUGGGCUCUCAGCAACACGGCAGCCUCUUACAAGCCGCGGGGAGGCGCGCUGGCCUCCGCCCCGAGUUUCUGCUCACACUCGCUCUGUGAGGCUGUGCUUAGAAGGCACUCUGAUCCGCUCAUUUCAGACGUACGCACACUGCCCACUGCACUGUGCCAGAGGCCUGCUUUUUACUAGUGAUUUUUAUUUUGCAACUCUCGAGAGAGCUAUCAUUCUUAUGCAAAUUUUCAGAGGAAAAUGUCCUCAAAAAAUUAAUUAAGAUACUAUUAGGCAGUGACAGUUCCAUCCUAAUCGCCACCCACUUAAGCAGCAAUUAUAAGAUGCCAUUGAUUGAUUUCAGACGUGGUAAGUGGUGGGAAAUUUCUGAGACUGGUAAAAUAUGAUACAUACUUAUAUUUUAACUACUUUUUGAUUUCUUCUUUCUCCCUGUUAUUUUAUAUUGGGUGGUGGUAAUGAACUCAAGGUAAUCGCUGGGAAAUGAAGGGACAUCCAAUUACCUAGAACUUCUGAGCUUGAAGCCGAGGCAGUGACGGAGUGAUUUUGAUCUCUGAACAACCCGGAUGCUCCUUGCUGGUUGGGGUGCACCCACAGCAUAAGAGGCAGACGUGAGAGUUCACGUAGAUGAAGGGGAGUAUGUGCAGGUGUGGACUGGAGCCGUGUUUCGGUUUUGAUUUCUCGUUUCUGCUUGUGGAUCCCUCAGCACAUCACCCUCGCCGUGUGUCCGAGCUCGGUCUUCCCCUCAGAAGCCUGACGUCAGCGAGGCCCUUGCUCCAGUCCUCCGCAGCACGAGCCUGUGCUCCGGCUCAACAGUGGACUUGGAUAGGGAGCUAGUUUUGCAAAAAGAAGAGAGGGCGAGGAGCACUGCUACUCCUGGCUGUCUUAGCCACGCUGCCUGGCUUCCAAGGCUGGUGCUGCCAGCGGGGCCCCCUGCCCAGUGCACGAGGCACUGUGGACUCGGUCCCAGGUACGGCGGGAGCCAUGCCUCGCAGGAUACUCUGGGGCGAGUCUUGCUUGCGCUCCCAGCUGCACAGCCCUGGCCUGGUUGCUCUCCUUGCUGGUGUGUGAACAGGCCAGAGCCUUCCAAUCCUGGAGCAGCAGCUCGAGUUUCUGUGUUCACAGUGAGGCUUUCUGGCUGACCCAGACCUGCAUUGACUUAGGAGAUAUCCUUCCAAAAGAAAAUGUUCUAUUUGUCCAGCAGUAACACUGUUUACAGAGCUGCAAGCUUUACUCUUUGAUGAUAAGGAAAGUUGAGAAACACAGAUGUUUUUCACUGGCCAGUGGUACUGUCUGGGUCAGCCUCCAGCUAGCAUAAAUAAUCGAGGAGGAACACAAUGCUCUUUGAAAUAUGAAAAAUCUUUUAAGAAAUGUAUUAUUGAUGCUAUGAAAACCAAAGACGAGAUUCAGGAAUGGAAAAUAAAGAUGGUACCUGCCAUACAGGGUGUGGUGCUGUCCACUCUGGCCAACAGACAGACAAGACCUUACAGGGAAUGAACAGCUGGUCACUGGCGCGGCACUGCUCAUGGGUCGAAUGCAGUGCUUCCAGCUCUUUCCCCAAAUGGCCUGGUAGAGAACCCUGCUUCCCAUUCACCUCGCCUCAACACGGCUGCAGGGCUUCGCCCUCAGCAUUAAUCUGUGUGUAUUUGCUAGACCGGAUCGUAAACGAAUGCAGGGAAUCUAAAUGGCCCCACCUCCGACGUGGCCCGCUGUGCACUGGGCAUGGGUCUAGAUCCCGAGGGUGCCCAGGGCUGGCCCAGCAGCCAGCAGAGAAAUCCAGGUUGUGGUGGCUUCCAUAUGACAGUUCCGCCCCUGCCUGCCUGCAGCACUUUCCACCCCAGACGCCCGGUCAGCCUCCGUGCUUCCUCUGCUUCCUCUGCUCUGGCUGGGCCCCACCAUCUGCACCCCGAGUCUGGGCUGUGGUGGAGUCUUAGCAGACGUGGCGCGACUGCGGCGUGUUUUUCUGUGCAAGGUUCGCUCUGUUCACUUCUGAUGUCCAGUGUUGCUUUUUCCAGUCAUUGGCCUAAUGAGCCCUCACUUCCCGUGGACUAACUUCUGGGUGCUUCCAGGCGGCCCACGGGGACACCCUCCUGCCGGGAGAGACAUCUGUGCACUGUUCCUUUCAGCCCUGUGCUGCCCCUGGAUGAUUUUAGUGACGGUGUCACCUGCUGCCUGGGAGGGCAGAGCCGAUCCCCUGGUGUGUCCCACAGGAGGCAUUGGGCUUCUCCUUCUCACCUUUAUUUCGACAGAGACACACUGAAUCCCCAAAGUAAGUUUUGCUGAAGGUGGAAAUCUGAUAAGGUGGCAAUAAACACUGAGACUAGGAUCAUGAAACUGAGCCCUCUUAUACUCAGUCCGGCUUCCCCAUCUUCGCUUUCAACCCAUGGGGCGGCCUUUCCUCUCGCUCUGCUCUCGAGGUCUGUUUCUGCAAGUGCAGACCUCGGCGUCCUGGGACAGGAGCUGCACCCACUCCGACCCUCAGCGCUGGUCCCUGCUGCCCGAGGGCCUCCUCUCUCCAGACCUGGAUCUCGGUGUAGCCGUGAGUUACAGGGGAAGAGACGCCUCAGGGGCCCAUCCCAGCCCGGCCAGGCCUGUCUGAGGGAUUUGCCAGGCGCCAGGCCUUCUCCGAGUGCUGGUGAUAAAAAUUUAUCUCGUUCAGAAAAGAUCAUUCUUCGGCUAAGAAAAGCCAGAUCUUGCUUGCUCCGGGCAUGGCUGGACACAAGUGACGUCGUCCGAUCCUCUCUCAUUUGACAGAGCUUCCUGUUCCGUAUCCGUCUCCAUCUCUGCCCCUCCCUCUUUUUCUUCUUUUUUCUCCUUUAUUUCCCCUUCUACUGAGUCCAUCUGCAUGGAAAAUGCCUCACAUUUUGACAAAAAUGACCACCAGCAAUUUUGGAUUUAUGUUAAAUGACAGCAAUCUCAACUCAGAGAGGAAGAUGUGAUGUCUUCCCAAUGGUCCUAGGAAGGUCCCAAAGGACACUGGAUGAGCCUGGCUCCCCACCCGGCACUGAGGGUAGAGCAUGGGAUUGCCCAGGCCGGGUGACUCCCACCCCUGUGGACAUGGCUGUGGUACUGUGGGUGGCCUGACAGCUCUUGUGUUUGUGGAGCAACAAGUUCAAGGAGAGCAGGGUUGCAGGAAGGGCAGUGGUAGGAAGAGGUGAAGUGACCCAUGUUGGCCAGUGUCACUGAGGCAGGGCCCGCAGGAGCGAAGUGUCCUUCGCCACAUGACGGACGCCACGGGGAAUUUUAGUCAGAGGAGAGAUGUGAUCCUUUGUCCUCUCCUUCAAAGCCUGCCCUGGCCGGUGUGGGUGAGGCGUGGGGAGUCACAGAACACAAGAGGUGGAAGUCUCCAUUUCUAAGAACGAAUGGGUCUCUCCCUUGGCCCGCGUUCUGCUCGAGACUCAUGUGGGUGUCCACUGCGGCCUCACACAGGGCUCCUAGCAGCAGUGCUCAUACCAGCCAAGCACAGGAACAACUCGAACGCCCACCAGCUGCUGGCUGGAGACCAAGCUGUGUUCAUCCUCCAGCAACGCCUGUACAGCACAAGAGGGAAGACUCAGCAGUAACAAUGCUGGCGCCACACGAGGGUCACAUCAGCACAACAUGAAGGAGCCUGGGCGUGCAGGACCACAGCUGUGAGACCGACUCCAUCUGUGGCAUCCGGAGAGCGCAGAGCUGUGGGUGGAGACAGAAG